RNAcentral lists this ribosomal RNA (455 nucleotides) under uncultured Anaerolineaceae bacterium. RNAcentral describes it as "bacterial SSU rRNA". It matches the Rfam family "Bacterial small subunit ribosomal RNA", at positions 910 to 1382 of the family's 1533-position model. Lineage: Bacteria; Bacillati; Chloroflexota; Anaerolineae; Anaerolineales; Anaerolineaceae. The record is from RNAcentral.
UUGACGGGGCCCGCACAAGCAGCGGAGCGUGUGGUUUAAUUCGAUGAUACACGAAGAACCUUACCAGGCUUGACAUGUUGGUAUCGGGUCUAUGAAAGUGGGCCCCACCUCGGGAGGCCAUCACAGGUGCUGCAUGGCUGUCGUCAGCUCGUGUCGUGAGAUGUCCGGUUAAGUCCGGUAACGAGCGCAACCCUCGCUGUAUGUUAUACGUGUCAUACGGGACUGCCGGUAUCAAGCCGGAGGAAGGUGGGGAUGACGUCAAGUCAGCAUGGCCUUUAUGUCUGGGGCUACACACACGCUACAAUGGCCAGUACAAUAGGUUGCAAAGCCGCGAGGUGGAGCCAAUCCUAAAAGCUGGUCUCAGUUCGGAUUGCAGGCUGCAACUCGCCUGCAUGAAGUUGGAAUCGCUAGUAAUCGCGCAUCAGCACGGCGCGGUGAAUACGUUCCCGGGCCUU